GCCCUUGUAGCUUAAUGGUAAAGCGCUCGCACUCUAAAACCACAUGGACGCGAGUGAAUCGGGGUUCAAGUCCUCGUAAGGGCA
Non-coding RNA from Endogone sp. FLAS-F59071, 84 nucleotides. NCBI's taxonomy places the organism in Eukaryota, Fungi, Mucoromycota, Endogonomycetes, Endogonales, Endogonaceae. The record is from the annotation of a GenBank genome assembly.